AACGAACGCUGGCGGCAUGCCUAACACAUGCAAGUCGAACGAGACCUUCGGGUCUAGUGGCGCACGGGUGCGUAACGCGUGGGAAUCUGCCCUUGGGUUCGGAAUAACAGUUAGAAAUGACUGCUAAUACCGGAUAAUGUCUUCGGACCAAAGAUUUAUCGCCCAGGGAUGAGCCCGCGUAGGAUUAGCUAGUUGGUGAGGUAAAGGCUCACCAAGGCGACGAUCCUUAGCUGGUCUGAGAGGAUGAUCAGCCACACUGGGACUGAGACACGGCCCAGACUCCUACGGGAGGCGAGCAGUGGGGAAUAUUGGACAAUGGGCGAAGCCUGAUCCAGCAAUGCCGCGUGAGUGAUGAAGG
RNAcentral lists this ribosomal RNA (358 nucleotides) under uncultured bacterium. Its description in RNAcentral is "bacterial SSU rRNA". It matches the Rfam family "Bacterial small subunit ribosomal RNA", at positions 29 to 414 of the family's 1533-position model. The record is from RNAcentral.